AUUAUCAAGCUGGGUAUCCUGACUUUUGAUUGGUUCCUCAUAUAUUUUUUACCUCCAUUACGCAGCAUUGAAUGUCCUUACUCUGACUUACAUCGACAGGACAAGACACGAUGAACAACCCUUUCUUGCUUCAGUCAUUUCUGUGUAAUAUCCGGAUUGUUCUGGAAGUUAUGAUUAAGCAGUAUGAUGAAGUUCACCUACAUAAGGAUGUUUACCUGCUUGGGAGGUGUUUGUGCUUGCCAGCUGAUAGUCACACUUCAGUGGUGUAGUACAGACUGCUGUAUAAAUGUGUGACAGCACGUAAUUACAACAUGGUAACGGUUUAUUUGUUUUUAACUGUGUUGUUUUUUGAGGGUUUUUUUUUUUAAACAGUUUUUCCCUCCAUCGUAAAUGUGCUUUACAGUAUCUGGCAGGAUGGUUGCUGGUGGGAUACAGAAAUUAACAAAGGGGAUUUUGUGGGCUAUUAGUCUCCUGCAGGUCGGUCUGUUUCUCUGUCAUCCAGUAAUGGGCUAAUUAUGGAGAACAGUAACCCGUGGGAGCACCACCACCCACCUUGCGUGCGCCUCGCUGUGAAACAUACCUGUUCUCUAAAUCAGGAUGUCUGGUUUAAAGAAGGCUUUUUCCCUCCCCCAUGUUAAUGGUGUGAAACAAACUGUGAUUUUCAAAGAGUCUUGUUUCCUUAUAAGUCAGAAGAAAAAAGGCCGUCUUACUGGGAACAGGUUAAUUGUUAACAAGCGGCAGCUGCAGCAAGUUUGUCACUAAACAUGUUCGUUGUGUUUAAAUUCACUUUUUCACCACUUAUUGGAGAUAUUAUUGAUUAUGACGUGCACUUAGGGAUGUGUUAUGUUUGCAUCUUUUUCUUUUGCCCCUUUUAAAAAUAGAGAAAAACGUCUUAGCCAUUUUUUUUUGCUACACUUACGUUUAUGUUUGCAAAAAAAGUACAAAGCAUAUCUUAAAACUGGAGGAAACUCACAAAAAUAUGGUGUCAAUAGGAAGAUACUGUGCAGUUUAAAUAUUCAGUAAAUCCUGUGUUGUUGUUUCUCUUCUGUAAACUCAGAG
Astatotilapia calliptera (eastern happy) is the source of this 1059-nucleotide long non-coding RNA. Lineage: Eukaryota; Metazoa; Chordata; Actinopteri; Cichliformes; Cichlidae. The record is from Ensembl.